UACGUAGGGGGCAAGCGUUGUCCGGAAUUAUUGGGCGUAAAGCGCGCGCAGGCGGUUUUGUAAGUCGAGUGUUUAAGCUCGGGGCUCAACCCCGAUUCGCAUUCGAAACUGCAAGACUUGAGUGCAGAAGAGGAAAGUGGAAUUCCACGUGUAGCGGUGAAAUGCGUAGAGAUGUGGAGGAACACCAGUGGCGAAGGCGACUUUCUGGGCUGUAACUGACGCUGAGGCGCGAAAGCGUGGGGAGCAAACAGG
Molecule: unclassified non-coding RNA, 252 nt
Filed under: uncultured Paenibacillaceae bacterium
Lineage: Bacteria; Bacillati; Bacillota; Bacilli; Caryophanales; Paenibacillaceae
Description: contains 16S-23S intergenic spacer region
Rfam family: Bacterial small subunit ribosomal RNA
Source: RNAcentral